GCUUAUCUUGCGCAGCUUAGGUGGGAGGCUAUGAACCUUUUCUUCUGGGAAGAGGGGAGCCAUCAGUGAGAUACCACUCUUGGUAAGCUAGAGCGCUCAGUCUUCACCGUCAUCCGGUAAGACGACAGUUUCAGGCGGGCAGUUUGACUGGGGCAGCCACCUCCCAAAAGGUAAUGGAGGUGUGCAAAGGUUCCCUCAGGCUGGACGGAAAUCAGCCAUAGAGUGUAAAAGCAUAAGGGAGCUUGACUGCGAGACUGACAUGUCAAGCAGAGACGAAAGUCGGCUUUAGUGAUCCGACGGUGCUGUGUGGAAAGGCCGUCGCUCAACGGAUAAAAGUUACUCUAGGGAUAAC
RNAcentral lists this ribosomal RNA (352 nucleotides) under uncultured eukaryote. RNAcentral's name for it is "LSU rRNA". It matches the Rfam family "Bacterial large subunit ribosomal RNA", at positions 2127 to 2478 of the family's 2925-position model. The record is from RNAcentral.